This 110-nucleotide small nuclear RNA is filed under the name Tursiops truncatus (common bottlenose dolphin). The record is from RNAcentral. Lineage: Eukaryota; Metazoa; Chordata; Mammalia; Artiodactyla; Delphinidae.
GUGCUUGACUUGGCAGCACAUGUUGGAAUGAAAAUUGGUUCAACUUGGUAAAGAUUAGCAAGGCCUUGCACAAGAAUGACAUGCAAAUUCAUCAGUUGUUCCCUGUCUUU